This 373-nucleotide long non-coding RNA is filed under the name Mus caroli (Ryukyu mouse). Its description in RNAcentral is "predicted gene 7932 (MGP_CAROLIEiJ_G0006333.1)". The record is from RNAcentral. Lineage: Eukaryota; Metazoa; Chordata; Mammalia; Rodentia; Muridae.
GGCACCCCGCCUCUCUCCAGCGCCCCAGCUGGAGAAGGGGCCCGCACCCCCGCCCACCCGCGAUGCCUAAAGAGGAAGCUGCGUGGCCCCUUGCGUGCUGUGGCUGCUUCUCCCAGGUACAGGAGGCACGUGCGCUUCUGCGUUUUCUCGACAGGCAGCGCUGUUCUAAUGAAGGAUAACCCAGGCUGUUCUCUAGAGUCUCAAGAGUUUGAGGACCAACCCAGCUGCAAAGCAUCUGUCAUGUGAGGGGCACAUUCAAGGGUUCUGUGAACUCAGAUGUCAUCCUGAGAGUCACCAUUCAUCCCAGCUCCAGCAUCAUUUAAUGAACUUUUACAAAUGUUUCCAUUGGGUACCCCAAAUUCCCCUGAGGAUG